RNAcentral lists this long non-coding RNA (830 nucleotides) under Microcebus murinus (gray mouse lemur). RNAcentral describes it as "lncRNA (ENSMICG00000048212.1)". The record is from RNAcentral. Lineage: Eukaryota; Metazoa; Chordata; Mammalia; Primates; Cheirogaleidae.
GUGUGACAUGGCUCUGUGCCACAUGGAGAAGGAGCACAAUGUCACUUCCGAGGUUUGUCAUGAACACCCUGAUAGAUUCUUCAGGUGAAGUGAGAGGCCUUUCUCCCUGCUGUGCUGUCAAGGCUGAGAAGCGAAAGGAAAAUUCAUGUGUCCUGUGGCAAGUGCCUGUGGUCUCACUACUGCACUAAAUACAGUUCUGCCAGGUUUUGUGUUAGUUGAUAUUCUGUGAAUGGAGUUAACAUCUUCUGAGUUUUCUGGGAGUUUGUAAAUUAGACAACCUGGAGUGAUUCUUUUUGCCCAGCGAGGUAUCUAUGAAAUAGUACAAAACACUACCUAUUGCCUGGCCCCAGGGAUGGGAAAAGGUGAGCUUUCAAAGGGCAAUUGCAAUGAAGGGCAUUGUGGUCCACACUGAAGAUUUUGACUUGUUUCCUGCAGAUGAUGGCAAAUGUUUGGAGAAUUUGGGGAGAGGAGGAAGAGAAUCAGAAUUUUCUUUUCGACAUACCACUGGAGGUUGUAGGGAGGAUGCGUGUGGAAGCAGGAGACCAGUUGGAAGCUGUUGUAGGAGUCGGUAUUUUCCACUCCCAUGCCAGCUUUGGGACCUGGUUCCAUUUCUCCUCAAGGGACAUAUUUCAGGAAAUCUUCCCAUCAACCUGUCCAUCCCAAUCUAUUUUUCUCUUCCCACAAUGUCUCUAGCUUGGACAUCUUCAAGUCAUCUAGCUUUCUUCAAUCACUCCUUAAAAGCAAAAUGUCUUGAACUCUCAUCUCACACAUUAGAAGAAUCCCAGAACUUUCCCAUAUCUCUGAGGGGAUGGGGGACAGUCUACCCAUAA